This 63-nucleotide non-coding RNA is filed under the name Pongo abelii (Sumatran orangutan). The record is from RNAcentral. Lineage: Eukaryota; Metazoa; Chordata; Mammalia; Primates; Hominidae.
GAAAGAAUAAAAGCUAGAGGAGGUGGCUGCUGCAGGAGGUUUAGCAUAAAGGAAAUAGGAAUG